This 409-nucleotide long non-coding RNA is filed under the name Ananas comosus (pineapple). Its description in RNAcentral is "long non-coding RNA (ACOM_LNC033137)". The record is from RNAcentral. Lineage: Eukaryota; Viridiplantae; Streptophyta; Magnoliopsida; Poales; Bromeliaceae.
AUAUUACUCCGUCAAAAUAAGCGGAUCAACUUCCUUAGGAAACCAUCCACAAUUCUCAUGAGCCUCCAAUCCCUCUAUUCCUUGUGCAUUGCAGCCUCCUGCUGACAUUGCACCACGUCGGCUCGUCACUUUGCCACUACGACUAGUACGGUCAAUAGACUUCAGAGCCCCGAGUCUCCACUAUGCUCGGCUAACUCUUGCACAUCACUAGUCCCGGUCCAUAUCGAUCUCUUUAAAGAUCGGCCACACGUAACCACCGAACGCACAAUAACUCAACCCUCAAGGUCAAGCGCGCGACACCUACACGCAACACUAUCCACGACUCAAAUCCAGGCGAAAGUCAUGCAAGGCAGCCUAUUUUCAUCACUCGGUUUUAUGUUGUGUGCACUCAACACGAACAUUCCAUAAU